UACAGAGGUCCCGAGCGUUGUUCGGAUUCACUGGGCGUAAAGGGUGCGUAGGUGGUCUAUUAAGUCAGUGCUGAAAUAUCCCGGCUUAACCGGGAGGGUGGCAUUGAUACUGAUGGACUUGAGUAGAGUCGAGGUAGGCGGAAUUGACGGUGUAGCGGUGAAAUGCUUAGAUAUCGUCAAGAACACCUAUAGCGAAGGCAGCUUACUAGGCUCUAACUGACACUGAGGCACGAAAGUGUGGGGAUCAAACAGG
RNAcentral lists this ribosomal RNA (253 nucleotides) under uncultured bacterium. RNAcentral's name for it is "partial 16S ribosomal RNA". It matches the Rfam family "Bacterial small subunit ribosomal RNA", at positions 524 to 776 of the family's 1533-position model. The record is from RNAcentral.